CCUACGGGAGGCAGCAGUGAGGAAUAUUGGUCAAUGGACGCAAGUCUGAACCAGCCAUGCCGCGUGCAGGAAGACUGCUCUAUGAGUUGUAAACUGCUUUUGUACGAGGGUAAACGCAGAUACGUGUACCUUUCUGAAUGUAUUUUACGAAUAAGGAUCGGCUAACUCCGUGCCAGCAGCCGCGGUAAUACGGAGGAUUCAAGCGUUAUCCGGAUUUAUUGGGUUUAAAGGGAGCGUAGGUGGGUGGUUAAGUCAGUGGUGAAAUUCUGCGGCUCAACGUUGGAAUUGCAACUGAUACUGGUCGGCUUGAGAGUAGUUGCGGUAGGCGGAAUUCGUGGUGUAGCUGUGAAAUGCUUAGAGAUCAUAAAGAACACCGAUUGCGAAGGCAGCUUACCAAGCUACUACUGACGUUGAGGCACGAAAGCGUGGGGAGCAAACAGGAUUAGAUACCCCGGUAGUC
Molecule: ribosomal RNA, 460 nt
Filed under: uncultured bacterium
Lineage: Bacteria
Description: partial 16S ribosomal RNA
Rfam family: Bacterial small subunit ribosomal RNA
Source: RNAcentral